RNAcentral lists this ribosomal RNA (514 nucleotides) under uncultured Leptothrix sp. RNAcentral describes it as "bacterial SSU rRNA". It matches the Rfam family "Bacterial small subunit ribosomal RNA", at positions 19 to 525 of the family's 1533-position model. Lineage: Bacteria; Pseudomonadati; Pseudomonadota; Betaproteobacteria; Burkholderiales; Sphaerotilaceae. The record is from RNAcentral.
CUGGCUCAGAUUGAACGCUGGCGGCAUGCUUUACACAUGCAAGUCGAACGGUAGAGGGGCAACCCUUGAGAGUGGCGAACGGGUGAGUAAUGCAUCGGAACGUGCCCAGUAGUGGGGGAUAGCCCGGCGAAAGCCGGAUUAAUACCGCAUGAGACCUGAGGGUGAAAGCGGGGGAUCGCAAGACCUCGCGCUAUUGGAGCGGCCGAUGUCAGAUUAGCUAGUUGGUGGGGUAAAGGCCUACCAAGGCGACGAUCUGUAGCUGGUCUGAGAGGACGACCAGCCACACUGGGACUGAGACACGGCCCAGACUCCUACGGGAGGCAGCAGUGGGGAAUUUUGGACAAUGGGCGCAAGCCUGAUCCAGCCAUGCCGCGUGCGGGGAAGAAGGGCCUUCGGGGUUGUAAACCGCUUUUGUCAGGGGAGAAAUCUUCUGGGGCUAAUACCCUGGGGAGGGAUGACGGGUACCUGAAGAAUAAGCACCGGGGCUAACUACGUGCCAGCCGCCGCCGUAACG